GGCACUUUGGCCGAGUGGUCUAAGGCGCCGUGUUCAGGUCUUCAGAUGUUCCGCACAUCUGGCCCUCUUCGCGGUCUAGUAAUAGGCGAGGGUUCGAAUCCCUCAGGUGUCA
Non-coding RNA from Claviceps maximensis, 112 nucleotides. The record is from the annotation of a GenBank genome assembly. NCBI's taxonomy places the organism in Eukaryota, Fungi, Ascomycota, Sordariomycetes, Hypocreales, Clavicipitaceae.